GAUGAACGCUGGCGGCGUGCCUAAUACAUGCAAGUAGAGCGCACAGACGAGAAGCUUGCUUUUCUGAUAUUAGCGGCGGACGGGUGAGUAACACGUGGGUAACCUACCUUUAAGCCUGGGAUAACUUCGGGAAACCGUAGCUAAUACCGGAUAAUAUUUUGUACCGCAUGGCACAAAUGUGAAAGAGGCUAUUGCUGUACUUCAUGGAUGACUUCGCGCUGCAUAAGUUAGUUGGUAAGGUAACGGCUGACCAAGGCAACGAUGCAUAGCCGACCUGAGAGGGUGAUCGGCCACACUGGAACUGAGACACGGUCCAGACUCCUACGGGAGGCAGCAGUAGGGAAUCUUCCGCAAUGGGCGAAAGCCUGACGGAGCAACGCCGCGUGAGUGAUGAAGGUCUUCGGAUCGUAAAACUCUGUUAUUAGGGAAGAACAGAUGUGUAAGUAACAGUGCACAUCUUGACGGGACCUAAUCAGAAAGCCACGGCUAACUACGUG
Molecule: ribosomal RNA, 497 nt
Filed under: uncultured bacterium
Lineage: Bacteria
Description: partial 16S ribosomal RNA
Rfam family: Bacterial small subunit ribosomal RNA
Source: RNAcentral